AUAAUGAUACACCCGUAUGACACGGUUCAGCCCACAGGAAUGGGAAUGGUUGAGAUACCAGUGG
This is a non-coding RNA of Dorea longicatena CAG:42, 64 nucleotides long. The record is from Rfam. NCBI's taxonomy places the organism in Bacteria, Bacillati, Bacillota, Clostridia, Lachnospirales, Lachnospiraceae.